This 304-nucleotide ribosomal RNA is filed under the name Lamponius guerini. Its description in RNAcentral is "partial 12S ribosomal RNA". The record is from RNAcentral. Lineage: Eukaryota; Metazoa; Arthropoda; Insecta; Phasmatodea; Pseudophasmatidae.
GCGGUGUUUUAGACUAUUUAGAGGAACUUGUCCCGUUAUCGAUAAUCCCCGUUUUAUCUUACUUUUAUUUGUUUACAGUUUGUAUACCUCCGUUAUGAGUUUAUUUUAUUAGAUUGAUAAUUUACUUUAUAUUUUAUAAAAUCUUAUUUCAGGUCAAGGUGCAGCUUAUAUUAAAGUGGUGGUGAGUUACAUUAUUUUUGAGUGGUUGGAUUUGAUUUAUGCAUAUUUUCAAUGAAAUUGGAUUUAAUAGUAAUUUAAUUUAUAAAGGUUAUUUGAUAUAUAGCUCUGAGAUGAGUACACAUCG